UCNGAUGUCCCUACUAACUUGAUGGCGAUG
RNAcentral lists this non-coding RNA (30 nucleotides) under Mus musculus (house mouse). Lineage: Eukaryota; Metazoa; Chordata; Mammalia; Rodentia; Muridae. The record is from RNAcentral.